RNAcentral lists this ribosomal RNA (253 nucleotides) under uncultured bacterium. RNAcentral describes it as "partial 16S ribosomal RNA". It matches the Rfam family "Bacterial small subunit ribosomal RNA", at positions 524 to 777 of the family's 1533-position model. The record is from RNAcentral.
UACGUAGGGUGCGAGCGUUAAUCGGAAUUACUGGGCGUAAAGCGUGCGCAGGCGGUUUUGUAAGCCAGAUGUGAAAUCCCCGGGCUUAACCUGGGAAUGGCAUUUGGGACUGCAAGGCUUGAGUGUGGCAGAGGGGACUGGAAUUCCUGGUGUAGCAGUGAAAUGCGUAGAGAUCAGGAGGAAUACCGAUGGCGAAGGCAGGUCCCUGGCUGACACUGACGCUCAUGCACGAAAGCGUGGGGAGCAAACAGGA